UUAAAUGAAGUUGAACAGUAG
RNAcentral lists this non-coding RNA (21 nucleotides) under Caenorhabditis elegans. Lineage: Eukaryota; Metazoa; Nematoda; Chromadorea; Rhabditida; Rhabditidae. The record is from RNAcentral.